Molecule: ribosomal RNA, 504 nt
Filed under: uncultured bacterium
Lineage: Bacteria
Description: bacterial SSU rRNA
Rfam family: Bacterial small subunit ribosomal RNA
Source: RNAcentral
GAUGAACGCUAGCUACAGGCUUAACACAUGCAAGUCGAGGGGUAGCAGGGAGUAGCAAUACUCCGCUGACGACCGGCGCACGGGUGAGUAACACGUAUCCAACCUACCAUUUACUCAGGGAUAACCCUUCGAAAGAAGGACUAAUACCUGAUAGUAUAACAAAUUCGCAUGUUUUUGUUAUUAAAGAAUUUCGGUAAUUGAUGGGGAUGCGUUUCAUUAGAUUGUUGGUGAGGUAACGGCUCACCAAGUCUUCGAUGAAUAGGGGUUCUGAGAGGAAGGUCCCCCACACUGGUACUGAGACACGGACCAGACUCCUACGGGAGGCAGCAGUGAGGAAUAUUGGUCAAUGGGCGAGAGCCUGAACCAGCCAAGUAGCGUGAAGGAUGACUGCCCUAUGGGUUGUAAACUUCUUUUACAUGGGAAUAAAGUGCAGGACGUGUCCUGUUUUGUAUGUACCAUAUGAAUAAGGAUCGGCUAACUCCGUGCCAGCAGCCGCAGUAAUAC